This 253-nucleotide ribosomal RNA is filed under the name uncultured bacterium. Its description in RNAcentral is "partial 16S ribosomal RNA". It matches the Rfam family "Bacterial small subunit ribosomal RNA", at positions 524 to 776 of the family's 1533-position model. The record is from RNAcentral.
UACGUAGGGGGCUAGCGUUGUCCGGAAUCAUUGGGCGUAAAGCGCGCGUAGGCGGCCCGGUAAGUCCGCUGUGAAAGUCCAGGGCUCAACCCUGGAAAGCCGGUGGAUACUGCCGGGCUAGAGUCCGGAAGAGGAGAGUGGAAUUCCCGGUGUAGCGGUGAAAUGCGCAGAUAUCGGGAAGAACACCCGUGGCGAAGGCGGCUCUCUGGGACGGUACUGACGCUGAGACGCGAAAGCGUGGGGAGCGAACAGG